This is a long non-coding RNA of Oreochromis aureus, 617 nucleotides long. RefSeq lists it as uncharacterized. Lineage: Eukaryota; Metazoa; Chordata; Actinopteri; Cichliformes; Cichlidae. The record is from RefSeq and is a predicted model, not a curated record. The transcript is spliced from 2 exons.
AUAGUAGGCUAUAGCUUUAGAUGACAAAACGGGGUUUGUAGCCCUGAAUGUCGCACAGGUUACACUGUGCUAUCAAGUUGCUUGACCAUUACACAACUUAAAUUUAGUCCCAACUUAUCACAUAUGAUUAGGUGGUGUAUUUGUGAAUCAAUACAAGUUUGUGACAUGUUCUUUUAAACGACUCAAGCUAAUAAAUAAACAAGACACUGUGCUACAUCGAGAAAUAUAGAAACCAGGUUCAUUAUUGCUACUCAACAGUAGCCGGGGGUGGAGCUUAGCAAAUGCGUCAGACGCAUUUAGAAUGCUUUUUGUUCAAAUGAAUGUUGUCAUAGCAUUUAUGGGAAAAACACAUUUUGAAGAAUGCUGGCAGAGCUGGUACAUGCACUUUGGAUUACAGAGGAGGAAAAGAGAGGAGAGGAAAGAAAGAAAAGAUUAUUUUCAGAGGAACAACAGGAACUGAAGGAGGAGCAGGAGCGGCUGGAGAAGCGACCGGAGAAGCAGGACCUGCCGGAGGAGCAUGAGCAGCAUUCUUCACCUGAUGGAAGAGACAGGAGCAGCAGCCAUCAUUAAUAAAUGCAACAUCAUAUCAAAAUAAUAAAAUCAAUCAGUGUCAUUCA